CAUCUAAAUCUAAUUUAGUUUUGAUAAAAGAAAGAUUUUAAAAUUGAGUGUUAAAAUAUUCUUUAUCAAGAGAAUCUGUUCUUAUCCAAAUCAACCUCUCUAUGCCAACUUAUUUUUCUCUCCCUAUAUGUGCAACAUUUUGAGGAGAUUUUUUGUGAGAGAUUUAUCAUGAAAAACUAUGGGAAGAAGCAUCCCAUAUAUUUUUGAUAUAUUUUGGGAUGUGGAAUUGUGAAGGGAGGUGACA
This 244-nucleotide long non-coding RNA is filed under the name Elaeis guineensis (African oil palm). RNAcentral's name for it is "long non-coding RNA (EGUI_LNC065186)". The record is from RNAcentral. Lineage: Eukaryota; Viridiplantae; Streptophyta; Magnoliopsida; Arecales; Arecaceae.